This 2449-nucleotide long non-coding RNA is filed under the name Homo sapiens (human). Its description in RNAcentral is "HSALNT0309439". Lineage: Eukaryota; Metazoa; Chordata; Mammalia; Primates; Hominidae. The record is from RNAcentral.
GCCUCAUCUCCCUCCCAGCUGCCAGGGAGGGACGGCUCCAUGGGCAGUGCCACGGGUGCCAGCUGCCCAGCCAGGAUGCAGGUGAGUAAGACAGCACCUCCUCCACCCUCCUAUGGUGGAACCAAGGCAGGCCUGAUUCUUUGCCAUUGUUUUCAAGGAAGCUAGCUGUAAUGAGCAACUUCCCAGUCUGUUUAAGAUAGAAAGCAGGUCGGGGUCUCCCCGCUCCCAGGCCGUCUCUCACUGUCUCUCUUCACCCUGGGCCAGCACCAACACUCCGUGCUGUGGACACCCUGAUGGUGAUAGGGGAGGGGCUGUGUGCUUCCAGCCCUGGGCCUGUCUUCUUCCUUCCCCAGAAGUGUCCUUUCCUCUCCCCCCUCAUGGCUCUUGGAUGUCAUCAACACCCCACUCAGUCAUUUUGCAGUCUUCUCACGGGCACGGAAAGGUGUGGCUGGCUUCCUUCACCUUUCUGAGGCUCACUGGAAACUUGGGGUGAUCCAUGCUACUUGCCCAGCCCCAACACCACCCCUUCUUGCUGUCAUCUCAGUGAGGCUUUUGGCAACACAGUUCCAGAAGGGACUGGAAAAUGCAAGUCUGCUCUGUUCUGGGACACCCAAACUAAAAAGGGACUUCACUCAUCCCUACCACCCCACCUCUGCCCAAGACACUCUCCCCAAUAACUGACUCUCUUGGCUCCCUCCUUUACCUCUUUUCUCUCUCUCUCUUUCUUUCCAGAACCUCCCAGUCGAACAGGAAAAUGGGGAGAGUUGGAAACAGCCUUGUUGACAUGGUCUCAUUCUCUUUCUCAAUUCUUCUGCUCUAUAGUUUUUGGACUUAGAAAUCAGUAAUUCACCUGGUCUGUGGGUUCUUCAGAGAUCCCUGAACACUGGGUGGUAUAAGCUGUCUGGGCAGUGGAAAAAAGGUCUUUGGGGUAUAAUGAGCAAAGCUGGCACUCAAUGGGCAUCAAAGGGAAGCACAUCAGUGAAGAUGGUGCGGAUCAUCCCACCACAUCAAAACCCUGGAACGCGAUAUCCGUUACCAGAAUUCAGGGCCAGGGCUUUCUUCCCCUGAACAGGAUGUCCUUCCGUUAGCCCCGGGAGAUCGUGGUGUCCUGCAGGACCAGCUGGACCCUGGAAGGCCGGUGGGCCCUGAUGUUCAUGCGGAAUUCUUUGAUGACAAAGUAGUAGCAGAAAACAUCCAGGCAGCAGUUGACGUUGGAGAAACACAUGGACAAUUGCAAGAAGAAGCUGAUGCUCUGCUUGGCUCUGCACUCUACGAUAAAGCUGUUUCUCACCAGGAACUGCAGGAAGAACCCCAGGUGGACUGGGAGGAAGGAGACCACGAAGACAGCCAGGCUGGCUGCGAUGCUGUAGAUGCAGGCUUUCUGCUGCACCCAGUCCUGGGUGUGGUCUCGGCGGCCCAGCAGGAUGUGGAUGCUCCUGGAGCAGCAGAAGCCCAUGAUGCCCAUGGGAAGGAGGAAGCCAAACACCUCCAGCGGGAAGAAGACCUUGGCGCUCCAGGUAUCAUCAGACAUGUUGUGGAAGCACAUGUAUUUUUCCACUUUCCCAUGGAAACUGUAGAUAGGGAUGCUUCCGGUCCACACCAGGACCCAGAUGGUGCAGCAGAUCCCAAAGAUCUUCCUGGGGGACCGGAGGUGGCUCACCAGUAGCGGGUAACGGAUGGCCAAGAACCGGUCCAUGCUGAUGAAGCAGAUGGUGAAGACGCUUCCGUACAUGCUGACGAAGUAAAGGCACUCCACCAGGGUGCACAGGGACGGGAAGGGGGACUGUACCUGGGACAGGACCAUCUUGAAUGGGAGGGAGAGCACCAGCAGCAGGUCAAAGACUGCCAGGUUGAUCAUGUAGAUGGAGGUGGCAGCAUAAUCGGGCCACCUGUUCUUAAGGAAGGUGCUGAAGCCAUGGAUGGCCAGCAGGUUGAGGAGCAGGCCCAGGACGAAGGUGGGGAUGUGGACUGCAAACUGUAGGGUUUUCAUCAGCUCGUUGACACCGUCAAACAGGCAGUCCCCACUGGUGUUUUGCUGACUCAUGUUUCUUCCUACAACACCAACAGAUCAGACGGGGCUCCUUUCACUCUCUUGAAGUGAUGGAUUCAAAUGACUUUGUCAAGAAUCACAAACACCUCCCCAGCAUCACACAGCAAUUCAUGCCCAUUGAAUCACAACUAGAACACAGAAAAGAAAAAUUACCUUUAAUCCUGCUGCCCAGAUGCAACCACUGUUACUUUUUGUGUAUAUCAUUCCAGACUCGCUUUCUCACUCUCUUUCUACCAUACACACAUUUUUCUUUGACAAAUAUAGAACCUGCUGUGCAUGGACAUCUGUCUUUUAAAUCAGAACUCCUUUUGUUGAAAGAAGUAACAGCACAUACCCAGACCCAAACAGGCUGAAGCAAAGAGACAGUUUCACAUAAUGGAAAACAUGAAAACUAGGGUA